GAUUAAGUUAUUAAGGGCGCACGGUGGAUGCCUUGGCACUAGAAGCCGAUGAAGGACGUUACUAACGACGAUAUGCUUUGGGUAGCUGUAAGUAAGCGUUAAUCCAGAGAUUUCCGAAUGGGGGAACCCAGCAUGAGUUAUGUCAUGUUAUCGACAUGUGAAUUCAUAGCAUGUCAGAAGGCAGACCCGGAGAACUGAAACAUCUUAGUACCCGGAGGAAGA
RNAcentral lists this ribosomal RNA (222 nucleotides) under Staphylococcus epidermidis. RNAcentral describes it as "partial 23S ribosomal RNA". It matches the Rfam family "Bacterial large subunit ribosomal RNA", at positions 1 to 220 of the family's 2925-position model. The record is from RNAcentral. Lineage: Bacteria; Bacillati; Bacillota; Bacilli; Caryophanales; Staphylococcaceae.